AUGGCAACCACCGCCGCGUCGGCCACAGCCGGGUGUUGGAGCAGCACGAGCUCCAGCUCCGUGCUACAAAUGUUCUCACCGCCGCUGAUGAUCACGUCCUUUGACCUGUCCUUUAUCUCUAUGUACCCAUCCGGGUGCACGACGCCGACGUCGCCCGUCAUGAACCACCCGCCCUUGAAGGCCUUCUCAUUAGCCUCCGAGUUGUUGAGGUACCCCUUCAUGAGGCUGCUGCCGCGGAGCACGAUCUCACCCAAGGACUUGCCGUCGCGCGGCACGCUAGACAAGGUGUCAUCGUCGACCACGACAUUGGCAUCGGCGAGAGACAGGAUGCUGACCCCCUGCCUCAGUGAGUCCGUAGGAGUGCGUCACCUUGAAACCGAUCCGCUCGACACGGUCCAGCAGGGCGGCCGUCGGCGGGGCGCCGCCAGUGAGGACGUGGACGGGAGCCGCGAGCCGCGGUGCCUCGCCGGAAAGGAGGAUAUUGAAUACCACGGGCGCGCAACACAUGUGGGUGACGCCAUAGUCGGAGAUGGCACGGUAGAGGUCGGCGGCGCGGUUCUCGCGGAUGCAGACGUUGACGCCGCCGCGCGUCGCCACUCCCCACGUGAGGGUCCACCCGUUGCAGUGGAACAUGGGGAGCGUCCAGAGGUACACCGGCUCGGUGCCCACCCCCCACGACAGCAGCUGGGCCAUGGUGUUGAGGUACGCACCACGGUGGCUGUACACCACGCCUUUGGGCGCCGACGUGGUACCCGAGGUGUAGUUGAGCGCGACCGCAUCCCACUCGUCUUCGAGCGAGGGCAGCUCCGCCGCCGGGUCUCCUUUGCUGACCAGCGCCUCAUACUCGAGCUUGAAGAGGCCGAGCCGGACGCCGGUGGGUCUGUCGAUAUCAUCGAUGACGGCGACAAGCGGCACGGGCGCGCCGGCAUCGGCAACGAUCUGGAGCGCGUCGUGAGCGAGGCGCACGUACUCAUAGUCGACGAAGAGGACCUUGGUCUGGGCGUGCCUGAGGAUGACCGCCACCGCCUUGGCGUCCAGGCGCGUGUUGAUGGUGUUGAGCACGGCAGCAGCCAUGGGCACGGCGAAGUGCAUCUCGUACAUUGCCGGCACGUUGGGCGCGAGGACGGAGACGACGUCGUUCUUGCGGACGCCGAGGGAGACGAGGGCGGCGGCGAGGCGGCGGCAGCGCUCGUGCGUUUGCCUCCACGUGAACUUGAGACGCCCGUAGACGACCGACGUGCGGUCGCCGUAUACUGCACUGGCGCGCGGAAGGAAGCCAACCGGGCUAAGUGGCACGUAGUUAGCCGGGCGCUUGGGAAGCUUGUCCAUUAUAAUUUCCUCCACCACCGUACGUACCUUCAGCUCAAUAUAUUGUGUGUCGUAUCCUCAGGCCUUAAUUUGUGGAGAUGA
This 1410-nucleotide ribosomal RNA is filed under the name Triticum aestivum (bread wheat). RNAcentral describes it as "partial small subunit ribosomal RNA". Lineage: Eukaryota; Viridiplantae; Streptophyta; Magnoliopsida; Poales; Poaceae. The record is from RNAcentral.